RNAcentral lists this long non-coding RNA (2507 nucleotides) under Zea mays. Its description in RNAcentral is "long non-coding RNA (ZMAY_LNC000182)". The record is from RNAcentral. Lineage: Eukaryota; Viridiplantae; Streptophyta; Magnoliopsida; Poales; Poaceae.
CCAACAACAACCGCGUGAUCACCGUAACUACCUCCUCGUAAGUAUCGCAGCCGCGGUAGACUUCUCCCCCACGGCGCGGACUCACCAUGGCCCAUAAAUGCACAGCGCGGACCCCCCUGUAUCUCCCUACCGUGAGUUCUACCCUACUCGUGCUCGAGGACACCAUCGCCGGCCACCACAGCAAAGUGAGGGGAGCUCGGGUUCCGCCGUGGGAGAUUGUGCACUCACCGGUUUACGCCGCGGACUCGUUCGCCGCCGUGGUCAGAGCUUCACCGCAAGCGAUUCGUGGUAAGCACUCCUUCCCCAGCUUCACGUAUGUCUCCACUUUGUAUAUCUACCUCGGGGGAACCUUUUGGGCUCGGAAUCAAGGGUUGGCUGUGUCCGGUGAUGCCGCCGCCGUGGAGACCUUGGUUGCCGCGCGCGCCGCUGUCUUCGGACCGUGGAAGGCGAUGGCCUCCUGGCCGUUGGAUCGACCACUAGCGGGCAGGAUUAUAGCAGAGGUAGGAGGCGCGCCCUAUCUGUUGAUCUGGUCACCAACGGUUGUGAUCGUGCGCUGGUUUAUAUGAAGGGACCGAGGACCGCUCGAUCCACAGCGGACGGUAGAGAUUAGAAGAUAACGUUUUGAUACAUCGCCAACCUAAUUUGGGCCGUGCGACGUGGAUCCAACGACUCUGGGUGUUUCAUACCCCUUCGCGCAUGUCAAGUUGCAAAAGAACCCCUGGAACCUUUAUAAAUCAACCUGCGGUCCACUGCGGGGUUGGACUGAGUCUAUGGAAUUUUAUACGUUAGCCCCUAGUCUUUCGCAAAAUAGUACCCCAGUCCAGAGCCUUCGGAAAAAUUCAGAAUUAAAUCAGAAAUUGAUUUUUAGUGUAAAAAUAAAUCUAGAAACUUGUUUAAUUCAUAUUAAAACCAUUUUACCUCCAAAUUGAUCUGUUCCAGUUGCUAUAAAUUCAUAUUAAUAUUGCUUAUCCCUUGAUAACUUUAUUUGCUAUGAAACUUAAAUUGGAGUUAUGCACUUGAUUUCUUUUGUACCCUACUCCUAAACCUUUAGAAAAUCAUAUCUUCUAAACUGUAGCUUUGAAUUUAGUGAUUCUUGUUCCUACGAUCUCGUAACGACGAGUAGACAAUUAUUAUGCAGUUUAUGCUUAUGUUCGGUGUGAUGUUAAUUUUGCAUAUACUAUGUUUGUUUGUAUUGCUACGAAUAGCAGUGAGGUCACGAGAAUCUGAAGAUCAUCCUGGUACCUGGAAUCUCAAGUCCCAGGCAAGUUGUGCCCUUGAUCACUUCUUUUACCUACUCAUGUUCUAAUUAAUCAUAAUGAUCUGCAUAGGUUAAUUUUGAUGGGACCCAAUAGGUUACCCUAGAUUGUUUAUCUCAUUACCUUGUUUACCCCUGAAUCACUUGGGUAGUUUGCUAUUGCUUUACAUGGAUUUGGGAUAAUUAUUUAUCAUAUCUAUGUUCCAAUUAUUUUGUUAUUCUAUUUAUGUUCAUGUCAAGAUCAUUAAUGUUAAUUGGAACAUAGAGCUUAACUUGAGAAACACGUGCCACCACAAGGGUUUAUGGACGCCCUUGGCUGAUUAAUUAGGAAAGCUAGUGGAGGACUACCUUACCCGAAAGGGGCAAGGGCAGUAGGGGAGUGGUCAGUGUAGGGAGGUCCUUGCUUGAUUUUGCUGCGAUGGCGGUCAGGCAAGAACCCUGCAUUGGAGCUUCCUAUAAACUGUAGCGGGUUUUCUGAAGCUAGUGGAACUUUGUAAAGGCCUCGUAGUGUUACCCUGCCUCGCCUCCUCGGUAGAGGUGUAUGGGAAGUCGCGAUCCCUUGGCAGAUGGGUAACAUGACUUGUGAGUAAAGGGUACCACCUCUGCAGAGUGUAAAACUGGUAUACUAGCCGAGCUCACGGUCACGAGCAGCUCAGGACUCUCUGAUGAUUAACUUAUGGAACUAAAUUCAAUUUGUCAUAUGCAUUGCAUCGCAGGUGAUGUUGUUACUUUUGUUCUACUACUUAAUUGGGUCGGUAUUUACUUAUACUUAGUAAAUGCUAAUAAAAUUUUGACCAACUUUAAAAGCAAUGCUCAGCUCUAACCAUCCUCUUUGGUAAGCCAUACACUUCACGUGAGCUCCCACCUUUGGCGAGUUCAUGCACAUUAUUCCCCACAACUUGUUGAGCGAUGAACGUAUGUGAGCUCACUCUUGCUGUCUCACACCCCCCACAGGUCAAGAACAGGUACCACGGGAUGAGGCGCAUGGAGGAUGCUGCGAUGAGUUCGUGAGAGAUCUAGGCCGUCGUCUCCCAGUCAACUUUGGGUUGCUGCACCGUUGUCUCCAUAUAAUGUAAUUAUUUAUUUAUUUUGUACAGAACUCGUACUAUAUAGUAAAGAUGUGACAUUCGAUCCUGUGCCAUGAUUCAUCAUAUGUGUGAGACUUGGUCCCAGCACACCUGGUGAUUAUGUUCGCGCCCGGGUCUUUGGACCCCUAAAACCCGGGUGUGACAGUUUGCAAUGCUACAAUUUC